UACAGAGGUCCCAAGCGUUGUUCGGAUUCACUGGGCGUAAAGGGUGCGUAGGCGGUCGGGUAAGUCUGAUGUGAAAUCUCACAGCUUAACUGUGAAACUGCAUUGGAUACUAUUCGGCUUGAGAGUUGGAGGGGGGACUGGAAUUCUUGGUGUAGCAGUGAAAUGCGUAGAUAUCAAGAGGAACGCCAGUGGCGAAGGCGAGUCCCUGGACAACUUCUGACGCUGAGGCACGAAAGCUAGGGGAGCAAACAGG
Molecule: ribosomal RNA, 253 nt
Filed under: uncultured bacterium
Lineage: Bacteria
Description: partial 16S ribosomal RNA
Rfam family: Bacterial small subunit ribosomal RNA
Source: RNAcentral